This is a long non-coding RNA of Mauremys reevesii (Reeves's turtle), 430 nucleotides long. RefSeq lists it as uncharacterized. The record is from RefSeq and is a predicted model, not a curated record. Lineage: Eukaryota; Metazoa; Chordata; Testudines; Geoemydidae. The transcript has 3 exons.
AGGCAGAUCUUCCAGAACACUGACAAUUCCCUGUAAAAUAUUACAUGUACUGCAUACCAAGCUUGUCAUUCUGCAUUAAAUGAAUGCAUUGGUAAUAUGGAAAGAUCGUGUUAAACUCUCCAGUGAGUCCAAGAUAAAUUGGGAAAAUGUUCAGGAAGAGAGACCAUCUCAGUUCAGGCAGCCAGUUGGCUUGAGCCUUGGAUACAGGGGAAAGCCUAUCUGCAACUGAAGAAUUUCCUUAGCAGCAGAAAUGGUGGCGGAGACGUAAUCCAGCUGGAACAAUACACUGAAAACUACACAAGGACAUGAGACAACACUGGAGGGACAAAGAAACUUCUGGCCCUUGUAGCCAAGAAAUGCCUCCACUCCUCCAGUUGUUUGUAUAUUUUUUGUGCCAUGGAUUCAAGACAUGUGGCCAAGUACCCUGAAG